GGGCGGAACGGGUGGCAGUAGCUUCAUUCUGAUGUGAUGAACACUAUUAUCCGCCACCGCCUAUGGCUAAUUCCAACACCUCUUAUCCAUUCUUUCCCCAAAUUCCCUUUUCUUCAAUCCUCUCUCUUCUUCUCUUCAACCACUUCUGAUCCCAUCUCCUUCACUGUAUCCUACCUUACCAACACCUGUGGCUUCUCUCCCGAGGCCGCUCUAAAACUAUCCAAACGACUUCGUUUCUACAGCGCCCACAAAACCGAUUCCGUCAUCUCCUUCUUCCGAACCCACGGUUUCUCCGUCCCCCAGAUCCACCAGAUCUUCAGCAAAGCUCCCGAUGU
This 335-nucleotide long non-coding RNA is filed under the name Phaseolus vulgaris (common bean). RNAcentral's name for it is "long non-coding RNA (PVUL_LNC001514)". The record is from RNAcentral. Lineage: Eukaryota; Viridiplantae; Streptophyta; Magnoliopsida; Fabales; Fabaceae.